AAGAUGAGAGAGCAGUAAGGGCAUAUAACGGUCUUUGAUCUUGACGGACAGCUGUAGUCUUCUAAUUUCACCUUAGAGAGGGAGAGACACACAAACCAUAGUGCACCAGUAUAGUAAAAAAUAGUAACAUUUAUUUGAUUGCACUCACAAAAUAAUAGUUGUAAUCCAGCUUGUCAAAAUACUUGAGGGAUAGUGGUGCCGGCGUCCUUUUUCCCUUAGCAAGUAAUGGAAAAACAAACCAAAUAAAAAACCAAAUUAAAAACAAUCUAUAAACAUAAAUAAAAUAAAAAUUAGCAAUAACAAUAACAAGGUGCUGUCGUGGUCCCUCCGCCCUAAGCGUUUCGUCUCAAAACGAGACUUCCUCAGGGGAAAAUGAAGGUGCAUAUUACAGUCUGUUAAGUCCGUCUUUUUAAAAGGCCGUAAAUUCCCGCCUUCUGUAUGGCCAAUCGAAAUGUAUCACCUGCGUUAGUUUGAUGUGUUCCAAGCCUUGUUUUCAGUUCGACCAUUCUCGGAACAACUUCCGGUCUUGCGUGGAACAACAUCCGGUAUUGCGUGGAGCGCAAACAUGCGUUCCACAGCCGUAAACGGAAAUACAAGGAUCCAUACAAAAAGAUUUUUUAUUAUCAUGAAAACAAAUAGAGAAAGAAAUAGAG
Pelobates cultripes (western spadefoot toad) is the source of this 653-nucleotide non-coding RNA. The record is from the annotation of a GenBank genome assembly. NCBI's taxonomy places the organism in Eukaryota, Metazoa, Chordata, Amphibia, Anura, Pelobatidae.